This 24-nucleotide microRNA is filed under the name Ananas comosus (pineapple). Its description in RNAcentral is "microRNA s1023_c129a". Lineage: Eukaryota; Viridiplantae; Streptophyta; Magnoliopsida; Poales; Bromeliaceae. The record is from RNAcentral.
CAGAUAUUUUGAAUUUUUAAAUGA